CCUACGGGAGGCAGCAGUGGGGAAUAUUGGACAAUGGGCGAAAGCCUGAUCCAGCAAUGCCGCGUGAGUGAUGAAGGCCUUCGGGUCGUAAAGCUCUUUUACCAGGGAUGAUAAUGACAGUACCUGGAGAAUAAGCUCCGGCUAACUCCGUGCCAGCAGCCGCGGUAAUACGGAGGGAGCUAGCGUUGUUCGGAAUUACUGGGCGUAAAGAGUACGUAGGCGGUUAUUCAAGUCAGAGGUGAAAGCCCGGGGCUCAACCCCGGGAACUGCCUUUGAAACUAGAUAACUAGAGUCUUGGAGAGGUUAGUGGAAUUCCGAGUGUAGAGGUGAAAUUCGUAGAUAUUCGGAAGAACACCAGUGGNGAGCGACUACUGA
Molecule: ribosomal RNA, 375 nt
Filed under: uncultured bacterium
Lineage: Bacteria
Description: bacterial SSU rRNA
Rfam family: Bacterial small subunit ribosomal RNA
Source: RNAcentral